UCUACGGGAGGCAGCAGUGGGGAAUAUUGCACAAUGGGGGAAACCCUGAUGCAGCGACGCCGCGUGAGUGAAGAAGUAAUUCGUUACGUAAAGCUCUAUUAGCAGGGAAGAAAAUGACGGUACUUGCGUAAGAAGCACCGGCUACCUACGUGCCACCAGCCGCGGUAAUAAGCAGGGGGCGAGAGUUAUCAGGAUGUACUGGGUGUUAAGGGGGCGUAGGCGGGGCGCCAAGUAUGGAGUGAAAUGCCGCAGCUUAACAGCGGACCUGCUUUGGAAACUGGCGAACUAGAGUGCUGGAGGGGUAAGCGGAAUUCCUAGUGUAGCGGUGAAAUGCGUAGAUAUUAGGAGGAACACCGGUGGCGAAGGCGGCUUACUGGACCGUAACUGACGUUGAGGCUCGAAAGCGUGGGGAGCAAACAGGAUUAGAUACCCGUGUAGUC
RNAcentral lists this ribosomal RNA (440 nucleotides) under uncultured bacterium. RNAcentral's name for it is "partial 16S ribosomal RNA". It matches the Rfam family "Bacterial small subunit ribosomal RNA", at positions 338 to 795 of the family's 1533-position model. The record is from RNAcentral.